UACGGGGGGGGCAAGCGUUGUUCGGAAUUACUGGGCGUAAAGGGCUCGUAGGCGGCCAACUAAGUCAGACGUGAAAUCCCCAGGCUCAACCUGGGAACUGCGUCUGAUACUGGAUGGCUUGAAUCCGGGAGAGGGAUGCAGAAUUCCAGGUGUAGCGGUGAAAUGCGUAGAUAUCUGGAGGAAUACCAGUGGCGAAGGCGGCAUCCUGGACCGGCAUUGACGCUGAGGAGCGAAAGCCAGGGGAGCAAACGGG
Molecule: ribosomal RNA, 253 nt
Filed under: uncultured bacterium
Lineage: Bacteria
Description: partial 16S ribosomal RNA
Rfam family: Bacterial small subunit ribosomal RNA
Source: RNAcentral